Molecule: long non-coding RNA, 437 nt
Organism: Pygocentrus nattereri (red-bellied piranha)
Lineage: Eukaryota; Metazoa; Chordata; Actinopteri; Characiformes; Serrasalmidae
Exons: 2
Source: RefSeq, a predicted model, not a curated record
ACCCUUUAAAAAGGAAAAGGAAGAGAUGGAAAAGGAAGAGAAUUGAUUCUCUGAGCUGCAGUGAGGGUGAACUGGUUGUUUCAUGUCACUGGGGAAAAUGCAGUGCUCUGCUUCUGUUUGUUGCUCCUCGUUGAAAAGCAGCGCUCGUUAGCGAGGGUUUCUGUGGCUUCUUGAAGAAGACCAACAUAGAUGCAGCCUGACCGGUUACCAGCCGUGUGACAGCUCAGAGAUGUGAUGGAUCAUCACUUGCUAAUGUGGCUUUAUCAAGUAGGAAGAUUGCAGGGAAGUGGAGUUCUCCAGUUUCCAGUUCCAUUGUGUGGAAAAGGGCACACUGAGGGAGACCUCCUGCCUGUGCGUGGUUGCCGAGCCAAAAUGAAAGAAACAGCUCUUUUCUCUGGGGCUAAACUGCAGCAUUAAUGAAAAAAAAUACAAUCGGA